UCCAGUUUAUCACCGGCAGUCUCUCUAGAGUGCCCAGCAUUACCUGAUGGCAACUAAAGAUAAAGGUUGCGCUCGUUGCGGGACUUAACCCAACACUUCACAGCACGAGCUGACGACAGCCAUGCAGCACCUGUGUAAAAGUCCCUUGCGGGAAGACCGGCUUUCACCGGUUUGUCAAAUACAUGUCAAGCCUGGGUAAGGUUCUUCGCGUAGCCUCGAAUUAAACCACAUGCUCCACCGCUUGUGCGGGUCCCCGUCAAUUUCUUUGAGUUUCAGUCUUGCGACCGUACUCCCCAGGUGGUGGAUUUAAUGUGUUAACUGCGGCGCCGGAGGGAUCGACACCUCCAACACCUAAUCCACAUCGUUUACGGCAAGGACUAC
RNAcentral lists this unclassified non-coding RNA (381 nucleotides) under uncultured bacterium. RNAcentral describes it as "contains 16S-23S intergenic spacer region". The record is from RNAcentral.